RNAcentral lists this ribosomal RNA (327 nucleotides) under uncultured eukaryote. RNAcentral describes it as "partial 18S ribosomal RNA". It matches the Rfam family "Eukaryotic small subunit ribosomal RNA", at positions 1470 to 1796 of the family's 1831-position model. The record is from RNAcentral.
CCCUUAGAUGUUCUGGGCCGCACGCGCGCUACACUGACGAAUGCAACGAGCUUAUAACCUUGGCCGAAAGGUCUGGGUAAUCUCCAAAUUUCGUCGUGAUGGGGAUAGAUUAUUGCAAUUAUUAAUCUUCAACGAGGAAUGCCUAGUAAGCGCAAGUCAUCAGCUUGCGUUGAUUACGUCCCUGCCCUUUGUACACACCGCCCGUCGCUCCUACCGAUUGAAUGGUCCGGUGAAGCGCUCGGACCGCGGCCUCUUGACGGUUUUCCGUCGAUUGGCUGUGAGAAGUUCGUUAAACCUUAUCAUUUAGAGGAAGGAGAAGUCGUAACA